Molecule: ribosomal RNA, 1720 nt
Filed under: uncultured metazoan
Lineage: Eukaryota; Metazoa
Description: SSU rRNA
Rfam family: Eukaryotic small subunit ribosomal RNA
Source: RNAcentral
GAAACUGUGAAUGGAUCAUUAAAUCAUAUAUAAUAUACUGGAAUGUUAGCAGUUACUUGGAUAACUGAGGUAAUUCUUGAGCUAAUACAUGCGAAAAAUCUCGACUCACGGAGGAGAUGCUUUUAUUAUAUCAAAACCAAACGGCUUCGGCUGUUUAAUCUUGAUGACUCUGAAUAACUUUGGGCUGAUUGUAUUGCCUUGUGCAAACAACGUUUCCUUCGAAGGUGUGCCCUAUCAACUGUCGACUGUGAGAGAGACGCUCACAGUGGUUUUGACGGGUAACGGGGAAUCAGGGUUCGAUUCCGGAUAGGGAGCCUUUAAAAAACGGCUACCCACAUUCCUAAUGAAGGGCAUCCAGGCACCCAAAUUACCCAAUGGUCUAAGACCGAGGUAGUGACGAAAAAAAUAACAAUAACAAGACUCUUCCGAGGCCUCUGUAAUUGGAAUGAGUACACUUUAAAACCGCUUCCCGAGGAUCUAUUUGGAGGGCAAGUCUGGUGCCAGCAGCCGCGGUAAUUCCAGCUCCAAUAGCGUAUAUUAAAGUUGUUGUGGUUAAAAAGCUCGUAGUUGGAUUUCGGCGGGUAUUGGUCUGUUUGAAUUUGCUUCAACACUGACUUUUUUACCCGUUGUGUUUUGUCAGAAUUUAACGGGUGAUCUUCGCCGAUUGUCCGUUAGAACUUGACAGGUUUACUUUGAAAAAAUUAGAGUGCUCAAAGCAAGCUUGAUUGCUUGAAUAUUCGUGCAUGGAAUAAUAGAAUAGGAAGUCGUUUCUAUUUUGUUGGUUUUCGGAAAUCGACUUAAUGAUUAAUAGGGAUAGUCGGGGGCAUUUGUAUUCAAACGACAGAGGUGAAAUUCUUGGACCGUUUGAAGACAAACUACUGCGAAAGCAUUUGCCAAGAAUGUUUUCAUUAAUCAAGAACGAAAGUUAGAGGUUCGAAGGCGAUUAGAAUACCGCCUUAGUUCUAAACCAUAAACGAUGCCAGCUAGCGAUCUGCCGGUGUUUGAUUUUCUGACUCGGCAGGCAGCUUCCGGGAAACCAAAGCUUGUGGGUUCCAGGGGAAGUAUGGUUGCAAAGCUGAAACUUAAAGGAAUUGACGGAAGGGCACCACCAGGAGUGGAGCCUGUGGCUUAAUUUGACUCAACACGGGAAAUCUCACCAGGCCCGGACACCAGAAGGAUUGACAGAUUGAUAGCUCUUUCUUGAUUUGGUGGGUGGUGGUGCAUGCCCGUUCUUAGUUGGUGGAGUGAUUUGUCUGGUUAAUUCCGAUAACGAACGAGACUCUGUCCUGUUAAAUAGAUCCAACCUAGUCGUAGGGUUGGAAUUUCUUCUUAGAGGGACUGGUGAUUAUUAGUCACACGAGAUUGAGCAAUAACAGGUCUGUGAUGCCCUUAGAUGUUUUGGGCCGCAACACGCGCUACACUGAAGUGAUCAGCUAGUUUUUCCCUCUCCGAGAGGAGCGGGUAAACUGUUGAACCCACCUCGUGGUAGGGAUCGGAGCUUGCAAUUAUUCUCCGUGAACCAGGAAUUCCCAGUAGGUGCAAGUCAUAAGCUUGCAUCGGUUACGUCCCUGCCCUUUGUACACACCGCCCGUCGCUACUACCGAUUGAGUGUUUUAGUGAGGACCUCGGAUUGCUUGCUGGGCGGUUCGCGCUGCCUAGCUGGCGAAAAGACGUCCAAACUGUAGCACUUAGAGGAAGUAAAAGUCGUAACCCGUUAACC